CAUGUUUAUCAUCCUAGAGGGAGAUCAUAUCUUUCUCAUAUUUUUUAUGUGAAUGAUUGCUUUCUCUGUGCCUGAGCUAUGACUAGAAAUGCUAUUGUUCUUACUGCUAUCGUUGAUGCCUAUUGUCAAUAUUCUGAUUAACCAGUUAGUCAUAAUAAAUCUUCUAUUCAUUUUUCACCUUUUGUUUCCUCUGCUAUGACAGAGUCCAUCUUAUAUCUUUUGUAUUUUUUUUUGUCCGUUGCCUUGGACUUAUCUUGGUAUCUCUUUGUCCCCAAACACUUUAAGAAUUACUUAAUGUAAAUAUUUUAUAAAUAAGGUUUCAUCAAAAAUUGCUGCUUGGAAAUGACGCACGUUGUCCUUUGCUGGCAGAGCUACACUUGUUCAAUCUGUGUUAUUAGUUUUGCCAACUUAUAUUUUAAGUAUUGUGCAUCUUCUGCUUAUACUUUUAAAUCAAAUGGAAAAGGAACUUAGAGCUUUUUUAUGGGGACAUUCAAUGGAUACUAGAGGAUUUCAUCAUAUUGCUUGGGAUAAGAUUUGUUUAUCAAAAGCAAAUGGAGGUCUUGGUUUCACAUCUUUAAGCGAUGUAUUAGGAGGUUGGCAGCUUUCCUUAUCUUAUAUUCUAACUCAUUAUGGGCAAGAUUAAUUAAGGCUAAAUAUUAUUUUUUCGGCUCCUGGAUGAGAUACUCCCCACUGAAAUCUAGCUUAGCCAUCUGGAAGAAAAUUUGUACGGAAGGGAUCAAUGUGCAAUUCUACUUUCAGUACAUGAUAGGGUCUAGACAUAAUAUUAAUAUUUAUACUGAUCUUUGGAUUUCUACAUGUCCUUUGUAAUGGCGGCCAAUAUUUGUUAAUAUGGAUUCUAAUAUUUAUCAAAAAAAUCUUUCUGAAUAUAUUGACAAUUCUCGUUUGUGGUUAAUUGAAAAUUUGUCUCAGCUCUUAUCUAAUGAUCUUUUCCACCAGGUACUUGAAAUACCUCUUUUGGUGUCAACAAAUGAGGACAUUUUAGUUUAGGGACCAUCAAAGCUUCCUCAUAUUUCCCUUAAAGAUAUGUCUUUUAUGGACGAGCAACCGAAUUUGCAUGAAUAUGGCCAUCUUUUCAAGCUUAUUUGAACAUUUUCAUUUACUGGUCCCAAUUGCAAGAGUUUCAACUGGCUCACAUAUAUAGAGAGGAAAAUCAAAUGGUAGAUUAUUUGGCUACUAAGGUCAGAUCGGAUGAUUUUCAAUGGAAUGGUCUCAAUGAGGUUGACUCACAUUGCUUAAUAUCUUCUUAGUGUAGACAGAUAUGGAGUUCUAUAUUAACGGAGGGGAUGAAGGACAUGGAGGCUAUGCAUACAACCCUACACAAAUUGCCUCCUCUAGGCAACAUCAGUCUAAUUGCUUUGUGUUGCAUUGCUUUUAAGGUCGGUUUGUAUAGUUUUCCAGUGCUAAUAUCUUAUUUAUACAGGAAUAUCACCAAAGUCUUGGGGAGCCACAUCUUCAAAUCACCAGCUACAUUAUUGUGGUGGAAGUUCAACGUUUAGAGGGGAUUUUAUAUGAUAUUCAAUAAAUAUCUGAGGGCUAGAAGAAAAAGAG
Non-coding RNA from Elaeis guineensis (African oil palm), 1569 nucleotides. Lineage: Eukaryota; Viridiplantae; Streptophyta; Magnoliopsida; Arecales; Arecaceae. The record is from RefSeq and is a predicted model, not a curated record.